AGUCGCGCGGUAGCACAGAGGGCUUGGUCUCGGGUGAGAAGAGGGGGGCGGGGGAGAAAUGUGUGGGGAUAUCUCCGAUAUAGAGGGAUAUCCACUGUGAACGGGGGGUAUUAUACCAUAUCGCCGCAAGACCCCAGAGGGGGACCUCCGGGCCUCUCUCUAUCUCGUGAGCCCCCCCCAGGGUUAUAUAUAAUGCGGGGUAUUGUGCCCCCUAUGCGACAAUCCCUCUCUGUGCUGAGAGAAGGAGCCCCCCCACUGUGACUGUGACACGCGCCCCACUCCUACGGGAGGCGCCACUGGGGAAUAUUGCGCACUGGGCGCGCGCCUGUUGCGCCCAUGCCCCGCGUAUGAGAAAAGCCUCCUCGUUGUGAAGUACUUUCUCCGGGGAGGAAAGCGGGGAGGGGAUUAUCCUCGCCGAUUGAGACUACCCCCACAAAAAACACCGCGUAUCUCUCCGCGACCACCCGCGGGAAUACAGAGGGGGCGCGCGCGAUUCUCAAUUUCUGUGCGCGUAGCGCACACACGCGCGCUCUGAUAUCUCAUGUGAGAUCCCCCCGCUUUUCCUGUGAGCUGUGUUUGAGACUGUGACGCUUUAGACUCUCAUAGAGGGGUAUAAAUCCCCGUGUGUCGCGGAGAUGCGCAUAGAUCUGUGGAAAUAUCGCUGUGGCAAAGCGCGCCCCUGUGCACAAAACUGUCGACUCUCGUGCGAAAAGCGCGUGGGAGCAACACACG
RNAcentral lists this ribosomal RNA (732 nucleotides) under Pantoea pleuroti. Its description in RNAcentral is "partial 16S ribosomal RNA". It matches the Rfam family "Bacterial small subunit ribosomal RNA", at positions 60 to 888 of the family's 1533-position model. Lineage: Bacteria; Pseudomonadati; Pseudomonadota; Gammaproteobacteria; Enterobacterales; Erwiniaceae. The record is from RNAcentral.